UGGCGGACGGGUGAGUAAUGUCUGGGAAACUGCCUGAUGGAGGGGGAUAACUACUGGAAACGGUAGCUAAUACCGCAUAACGUCGCAAGACCAAAGAGGGGGACCUUGGGCCUCUUGCCAUCGGAUGUGCCCAGAUGGGAUUAGCUAGUAGGUGGGGUAAGGCUCACCUAGGCGACGAUCCCUAGCUGGUCUGAGAGGAUGACCAGCCACACUGGAACUGAGACACGGUCCAG
This 233-nucleotide ribosomal RNA is filed under the name uncultured bacterium. RNAcentral describes it as "partial 16S ribosomal RNA". It matches the Rfam family "Bacterial small subunit ribosomal RNA", at positions 96 to 334 of the family's 1533-position model. The record is from RNAcentral.